UUUUUUUAGUUGUAGAAGCAUUUUUCCAAGUGACGGAACUGAGCACUCUUUAGGAGUUGACCUUUGUCCAAAGAACUUCCUUUAGAGUUUGAGGUGACCAUAAUGAAAACCAAAUGGGAGGUCAUUGUCUGGAAGUUUUCAAGGAUUUAGAGGUGAAAGAACUAAUAGGAGAAGACUGGAAGCAGCUGUGUUCGACUGAGAUGUUAUUAACGUCUUAAACAUUGUCAAAAUCAUAGAAAGCCUUUUUGUCAAGCUGCAAGGAAGCAACUGCCUGUCUGCAACCGCUGAAAUCACCCCCUCUUCCUCAAUAUGCUUCUUGACUGGAAUUUGGACUGUGAAGGGAAGCUUGAGAUAAGACUAUUGUCUAAUCAUCUCAGGUCUGAGGAGAAGUAAACAAGGCUCAGGGAAUCUGCCCUAGCUGAGCUCAGUGGGUGGCAGAGGAGAACGGUUUGGGGAGCGUGAUGGCAAAAUCUCUCCACACGAAACAGAGUAAACCGCACCCCCCCAGGAUGACCACGUACACAUGGGGCAUUCACAUGAGAGGCAGCUGAGAAGGGGUCAUAAACAAUCAAAGACCCCCAAGGUAUCCCUCUCACUACCAAGAAGACCAGAAAAAUGGGACCUAUGGGAUGCUGCCCGAUUACAUGGAGUGGUGAUACAUUUUCUAUUUUUCUCUCUCUCACUCUCUUCUUCCCCUCGCCACCCUUUUUCUAUUUCUUUCUAUC
Chiroxiphia lanceolata (lance-tailed manakin) is the source of this 725-nucleotide long non-coding RNA. RefSeq lists it as uncharacterized. The transcript is spliced from 3 exons. NCBI's taxonomy places the organism in Eukaryota, Metazoa, Chordata, Aves, Passeriformes, Pipridae. The record is from RefSeq and is a predicted model, not a curated record.